This 250-nucleotide microRNA precursor is filed under the name Medicago truncatula (barrel medic). Its description in RNAcentral is "MIR2655 microRNA precursor family". It matches the Rfam family "MIR2655 microRNA precursor family", at positions 30 to 267 of the family's 267-position model. The record is from Rfam by way of RNAcentral. Lineage: Eukaryota; Viridiplantae; Streptophyta; Magnoliopsida; Fabales; Fabaceae.
NCCUUAACUUAUUUUUUGGUUUCGUUUUGGUCCCUUAACUCUUCCUCCGUCAACCACUUUGGUCCUUUAUGCUAGGAUGAAUGUAUUAGAGUUAAGGGACCAAAACGAAACCAAAAAAUAAGUUAAAGGACCAAAACGAAACCAAAAAAUAAGUUAAGGAAUCAAAACGAAACUUUUAAUAGUUAAGUGACCAAAAUGAAACCCAAAAAUAAGUUAAGGGACCGAAACGAAACUUUUAAUAGUUACGGGA